This 62-nucleotide transfer RNA is filed under the name Palaestes abruptus. Its description in RNAcentral is "tRNA-Cys". The record is from RNAcentral. Lineage: Eukaryota; Metazoa; Arthropoda; Insecta; Coleoptera; Cucujidae.
AACUUUAUAGUCAAUUAUGAUUUUAAAUUGCAAAUUUAAAGGUAAAUUUUAUUUUAAAGUUU